Eptesicus fuscus (big brown bat) is the source of this 78-nucleotide non-coding RNA. Lineage: Eukaryota; Metazoa; Chordata; Mammalia; Chiroptera; Vespertilionidae. The record is from Rfam.
CCUUCUCCCAUACCCAUUGCAUAUCGGAGUUGUGAAUUCUCAAAGCACCUCCUGUGUGCAUGGAUUACAGGAGGGUGA